GACGAACGCUGGCGGCGUGCUUAACACAUGCAAGUCGAACGGAAAGGCCCUGCUUUUGUGGGGUGCUCGAGUGGCGAACGGGUGAGUAACACGUGAGUAACCUGCCCUUGACUUUGGGAUAACUUCAGGAAACUGGGGCUAAUACAGGAUAGGAGCUCCUGCUGCAUGGUGGGGGUUGGAAAGUUUCGGCGGUUGGGGAUGGACUCGCGGCUUAUCAGCUUGUUGGUGGGGUAGUGGCUUACCAAGGCUUUGACGGGUAGCCGGACUGAGAGGGUGACCGGCCACAUUGGGACUGAGAUACGGCCCGGACUCCUACGGGAGGCAGCAGUGGGGAAUAUUGCACAAUGGGCGGAAGCCUGAUGCAGCAACGCCGCGUGCGGGAUGACGGCCUUCGGGUUGUAAACCGCUUUCGCCUGUGACGAAGCGUGAGUGACGGUAAUGGGUAAAGAAGCACCGGCUAACUACGUG
RNAcentral lists this ribosomal RNA (468 nucleotides) under uncultured bacterium. RNAcentral describes it as "partial 16S ribosomal RNA". It matches the Rfam family "Bacterial small subunit ribosomal RNA", at positions 28 to 507 of the family's 1533-position model. The record is from RNAcentral.